This 1464-nucleotide ribosomal RNA is filed under the name metagenome. RNAcentral describes it as "bacterial SSU rRNA". It matches the Rfam family "Bacterial small subunit ribosomal RNA". The record is from RNAcentral.
AAAGAGUUCCUUCGGGAACUUGAGUAGAGUGGCGCACGGGUGAGUAACGCGUAGAUAAUCUACCCUUAUAUAUGGAAUAACUGGGCGAAAGCUCAGCUAAUACCGUAUACGCUUUUCCGGGCGCGAGACCGGGGGAGGAAAGGUGGCCUCUGAUUCAAGCUAUCGUAUAAGGAUGAGUCUGCGUACCAUUAGCUAGUAGGUGGGGUAAUAGCCCACCUAGGCGACGAUGGUUAGCGGGUCUGAGAGGAUGAUCCGCCACACUGGAACUGGAACACGGACCAGACUCCUACGGGAGGCAGCAGUGAGGAAUUUUGCGCAAUGGGGGUAACCCUGACGCAGCGACGCCGCGUGGGUGAUGAAGGCUUUCGAGUCGUAAAGCCCUGUCAAGUGGGAAGAACCGUCAAUAUGCUAAUACCAUGUUGAUCUGACGGUACCACUAAAGGAAGCACCGGCUAACUCCGUGCCAGCAGCCGCGGUAAUACGGAGGGUGCAAGCGUUGUUCGGAAUUACUGGGCGUAAAGGGCGCGUAGGCGGCGCUGUAAGUCAGAUGUGAAAGUCCACGGCUUAACCGUGGAAGUGCAUCCGAUACUGCAGCGCUUGAGUAUCGGAGGGGAAAGUAGAAUUCCCGGUGUAGAGGUGAAAUUCGUAGAUAUCGGGAGGAAUACCGGUGGCGAAGGCGACUUUCUGGACGAAUACUGACGCUGAUGCGCGAAAGCGUGGGGAGCAAACAGGAUUAGAUACCCUGGUAGUCCACAGCUGUAAACGAUGUACACUAGAUGUAGGGGGUGUUGACCCCUCCUGUGUCGCAGCUAACGCAUUAAGUGUACCGCCUGGGGAGUACGGUCGCAAGAUUAAAACUCAAAGGAAUUGACGGGGGCCCGCACAAGCGGUGGAGUAUGUGGUUUAAUUCGACGCAACGCGAAGAACCUUACCAGGGCUUGACGUGUAGCUGCACGCCCGCUGAAAGGCGGGAAGCCUUCGAGGGUGCUACACAGGUGCUGCAUGGCUGUCGUCAGUUCGUGCCGUGAGGUGUUGGGUUAAGUCCCGCAACGAACGCAACCCCUGUGUUUAGUUGCCACCGGCGGUGAUGAGCCGCCGAGCACUCUAAACAGACUGCCCGUACAAGCGGGAGGAAGGUGGGGAUGACGUCAAGUCAGUAUGGCCUUUAUGCCCUGGGCUGCACACGUGCUACAAUGGCCGGCACAGAGGGGGGCAAGACCGUGAGGUGGAGCAAAUCCUCAAAACCGGCCCCAGUUCAGAUUGAAGGCUGCAACUCGCCUUCAUGAAGUCGGAUUCGCUAGUAACGGCGCAUCAGCUACGGCGCCGUGAAUACGUUCCCGGGCCUUGUACACACCGCCCGUCACAUCAUGAAAGCCGUCUGCACCCGAAGUCGCUGAGCUAACCCGCAAGGGAGGCAGGCGCCGAAGGUGUGGGUGGUGAUUGGGAUGAAGUCGUAACAAGGUA